This 3231-nucleotide long non-coding RNA is filed under the name Canis lupus familiaris (dog). RNAcentral's name for it is "lncRNA (ENSCAFG00040019493.1)". The record is from RNAcentral. Lineage: Eukaryota; Metazoa; Chordata; Mammalia; Carnivora; Canidae.
CGUAACGCCCCAUAAACAUCAGUGUAGGACAUCCCGAUUUUUAUCUACCAGGAGGCUCUGCUGGCUGGAACCUCUGGACACGGCAAUUACAGGUGAGCCUCGGAGGACAAGAUCCUCUUGCAGGUGAGGCGUAGAAAAAUGAAUGCUAAGAGCCUCCCGGCGGACUGCUGGGUCCAGCCUUUGGGAAUGGGAAUUGGAUUUAUUCCAGAGUCUCGGUAAACAGGAAUACCCGUUCACGCUGGCAGGGUCCCAUCUCUUCUCCCCAACACCCAGCAGAGGGCAGGCGAUCAGCAGAGGCUCCGGGAGCUAAAGGGAUCGCGAGGGAGGGCGGGAACGAGUGAGUGAGGGAAUGAAUGAGAGAAUGAGUGAGCGAGCGGUAAUGAGGAGGAAAGAAAUGAAGGAAGUGGAUGGAAGGGAUGAGUGAGGGAGGGAAUUUGGGAGGGAGGAAACGAGAGAAAGAAGGAGGAAACAGGUUUACAGGGCGCGACCCUUCCCAAAAGGCAUCGCUUCAUUUAUUCACUCAUUCAUUCGUUCAGCCCCGCCAGGUGCCAGAACUAUGCCCGGUGCAGAGGCGCACGGUCACCCCGGCGGCCGCAGCUCUCCUGGGCUGGGCCGAGGCCAGAGCCGCAUCCGCGGAAGAGUCGCCCGGGGCGGCGCCCCCCGCUCCAGUCCCCCAGCGAGGCGCCCCCGCCCCCCGCCUCCUUCCGCCCCCGCCCGGCGCCUGCGCGGCGCGGCCACGUGACUCGCCAAGGCCCCGCCCCGCGGCCGCCCGCCCGCCCCGCUCCCGCCUCCGGCGAGUGCGGCCUCGGCUUGCGGCGGCACCAGCCUCAGUUUCCUCAGCAGCCCGCAGGCUGCCGCUGAGAGGGUCCAACCUCGCCACCUGCGCGGUUUCCAGAGAGAAGCCGGAGAUCGCGAUGUCAUUGCAGAAUUUCCGCGUCCCUGGGCGUCGGGCGCGGGUUCUCCUUGCAGUCCUGGGCGGCCCGGAGUCGCGGAGUCGCCGCCGGUCGGUCGCCUGGUCGCCAUCACCUUAUGCCUGGAGUCCUUUUCGCGUCGGGCCUCUGUGGGGCCGGGCCUGGGCGGCAGGUUUGGCGCGCCCGAUGCCCCAACUCAGCUUUCUGGAAGACUCAUUCCAGAGCGCAUCCGAGUUGGCACCCCAAUGAUGGCUCCCCAUUCUGGAAAUCAGUACCUACUCCGUCCUCUCCUCUUCCCAACAGUCUCUCUUCCUUUUGUUGCAGUACCUCGCUUCAUGCUGCCAAGGAUUGGGGUUUGUUGAGGGCGGACACUUUUGGGGCGCUUCAGAGGACUGAGGGGUGCCUGCCCAGUAAAUGGUAUUAAGUUGAAAAUUAAAAAAUACUUUUGAUUCUGUCACCCAUGAGUUCAUAAAAAAUUAUUUUACGUCCUUCAGUUUGUACCUGCUUGGGACAUAAAGCUUCCUUCCUGCGGCCUUCAAAAGCUUUGAACAACAUGGAACGGAGGGGCCUUCCUUGUGACGAGUUGAAUCAGAAAUGUACGGAGCGGGAGGGAACUUAAUCUAGGGAAGGACCUCGUAAUAGAGUAAUCCCUGUAAAAUGAAUAGGAGACAGAAGAUGUCACCGAGUGAGCUCCCAAGAGCGUCCUUUAUUUCAGCAAAAUAGGCAGGGAAAGGUAUUUAAAAGAAGUGUUGCAUUUGACUUAAUUUUUAAUUUUUUAAAUUUUUGUCAAUUACCGAAACAUAGUUGCACUAUGAAAUGCUGUUUUUCAUCUAAGUCAGCAAAGAGUGAAAAAGAAAUGUCAUGGGCAGCUCCGGUGGCGCAGCGGUUUAGCGCCGCCUGCAGUCCAGGGCCUGAUCCGGGAGACCCGGGAUCGAGUCCCGAGUCAUGUUUCCUGCAUAGAGCCUGAUUCUCCCAAUGCCUGUGUCUGUGCCUCUCUUUGUGUCUCUCAUGAAUAAAUAAAUAAAAUCUUAAAAAAAAAUAAAGAAAAAGAAAUGGUAUUGGUCAGCUAGACAGUGGUUGGAACCAGGUUCUCAUACUUUGCUGGUGGAAGAAUAAAUUAGUACAAUCUCUAUGGAGGGCAGUUUGGCAAUAUGCAUUCAAAUGACAAAUAUACAUUAAAAUUAACAUGGGCCAGCAGUUCUGUAUCUAGAAAAUUUUCCUCAGAUAACUGCUGUAUAUGUGGCAUAGCCACAUAAAUGACUUUCAGUCUGUAACUGCUAAGGCAAACAAUUGGAGGAAACCCUGAUGUCUGUCUGAAAGGAUUGGUUAAAUAACAUGUGGUUAUGGAUACAAUGGACUGUGGGAGGGAUAUUAAGUUUUCAUAUGCAAAAGUUAAGGAAGGGGGGAACUGGUGUAGAUUUACAGAUUUACCUUUGAAUCUAUAGAUGCCCUCUGACAGGGAAGGUCGAAUAGUAGUUUUCUUCUGGGAGAGGAUCUGAUUGGGGUCUAAGUGGGAGGAAAAUUUAAGUCUCAGUGCCUUUCUGCGCCUUUUGAAUUUGAAUGUGAACAUAUUAAAAGAUAAGUUUGAGGGUUUAUUUUUUAAAUAUUUCAUACUAACAGGAAAGUUAGUCUUAUUGGAUCCUAAUGUUUUGUCUUUGUUUUUGUUUGUUUGUUUGUUUUAAAGGAAUAAAACAUUAUCUUUUUCCUUCCUGGAGAAAAAUCAUGAUCCUGAAGUUCUUUAAUGUGUCUAUGCUCUGUUAUAUUGUAACACCUGUCUAAAAACAAAAGUGGAUGGCAUGAUUUCAAACUUUGUGUACCACAUAUAUUCUUUAGUGUGCUCCCCCCCCCCAUGGCUUUGAGUUUUCUCCAUGUUGAUGACUAUAGCUUGAGUUCUAGUUUCCCCAUUUUAACUGUUGUCUAGUACUCUUGUUGGCUUACUUUGCUGCAGAGUCCAGUCCUCUGAGGAUGGACAUUUUUGGUCAUGGCCAAUGCUUGCCUUAUGAACAAGGCUGUGAUGCAUGGUCUUGAAUGUGUUGCACUCCAAGCUAUGCUCCUUCAGAGCAGGGAAUUGGUUCAUUUUCUUCACGUGGCCCUCGAGACCUACCUUAGUUCCUUAAAUUGUGCUUGAUAAAUAUGCUUUGCUUACCCAAGGAGGCAGUCUUCUCCUACUGUAUUCUGUAUUUGUAAUAAAUGUAGCUGCCAUGGAUCCCUUCCCAAAGGGACAGAAAUGCUAAUGUGCAGUGGGGACCCACUGAAGAUGGAUGUCUGUUGGAACAGUCAGUCCCUGCUGCCAGCCUUAGAGAAAGAGGUCUUCUUGACU